RNAcentral lists this ribosomal RNA (484 nucleotides) under uncultured bacterium. RNAcentral's name for it is "partial 16S ribosomal RNA". It matches the Rfam family "Bacterial small subunit ribosomal RNA", at positions 28 to 507 of the family's 1533-position model. The record is from RNAcentral.
AUUGAACGCUGGCGGCAUGCUUUACACAUGCAAGUCGAACGGCAGCGCGGGCUUCGGCCUGGCGGCGAGUGGCGAACGGGUGAGUAAUGCAUCGGAACGUGCCCAGUAGUGGGGGAUAGCCCGGCGAAAGCCGGAUUAAUACCGCAUACGACCUGAGGGUGAAAGCGGGGGACCGAAAGGCCUCGCGCUAUUGGAGCGGCCGAUGUCGGAUUAGCUAGUUGGUGGGGUAAAGGCUUACCAAGGCGACGAUCCGUAGCUGGUCUGAGAGGACGACCAGCCACACUGGGACUGAGACACGGCCCAGACUCCUACGGGAGGCGGCAGUGGGGAAUUUUGGACAAUGGGGGCAACCCUGAUCCAGCCAUGCCGCGUGCGGGAAGAAGGCCUUCGGGUUGUAAAGCGCUUUUGUUCGGGAAGAAAUGCUCUGGGCUAAUACCCCGGGGGGAUGACGGUACCGGAAGAAUAAGCACCGGCUAACUACGUG